UGUAGAUUGGCCUGAGCAAAUGUGGUGCCGGUGGAACGAAAGCCUUCGGAGGAGUUAGCGAAAUUCCAAUGUGUGCGGAUCGGCAAAAAAUGCGGAAUAACCCUUUAACCGUACAUUUGACAGAUACGCGCGCAUUGACUUUUUUGUAGAUCUUAUUGAGUUACAUGUGUGUGUCAAUUUUUGUGUCAUUUUGCCGAAGCGUACAGGUGUGACACUCAACAAUGUGUAUUUUCACCUUAGGGGACAAGAAAAAAUGGACUUUUUUCUCCUGCCAUGGGGGGCGCUCUUUUGGGGAGUAAAAAUUCCUUCACAAAUGUGUUGAUGGCUGGACAUUGCAUCAUCCUAGAAAACUUGGAGGCCAGUGAGGGCAAAAAUAAAAAGUUAUAAGACUUUUAAAUAUGUGGAUCUUAGGGUUAUCUUUGGCGCCCCCUAGAACCUAAACCGUGGGGUGCAGCGUCAUGAUUUGAAUAACUUUUAAUGGCCAUGGGGUGUAGAUUGGCCUGAGCAAAUGUGGUGCCGGUGGAACGAAAGCCUUCGGAGGAGUUAGCGAAAUUCCAAUGUGUGCGGAUCGGCAAAAAAUGCGAAAUAACCCUUUAACCGUACAUUUGACAGAUACGCCCGCACUGACUUUUUUGUAGAUCUUAUUGAGAUACAUGUGUGUGUCAAUUUUUGUGUCAUUUUGACAAAGCGUACAGGCGUGACAGUCAAUAGUGUGAAUUUUCACCUUAGGGGGCGCUAUGGAGCCAUUUUGCAUUUUCUUGUUUGGGCGACUUCGGAAUAUCGAAUUUUUCACCAGGCCCAUUCGUCCUGCCAAAUUUCAUGAGUUUUCGCCAGUGGGAAGUGGGCCAUUUUCCAGUUCAAAGGGGAGGAAAAAUAAUAAUAAUAACAAAAGAAGGAAACAUGCAGGAACAAGAGGGCUCUCGCAGCUGCUUAGCAGCUACGCUCGGGCCCUAACUAGGACCCCGUUGGGGCACUGGCGGGCCCGAGCUGUGUCGCGUCCCCCCCCCCAACGCGCUGCCUCCCCGUCCCAUUUGUGUCCUCUGGCCAUCGCCCUCUCUGGUAACGCCCAUCACUGCAAAGACCCUUUUCCUUCAUCGGCGUUUGCUGUUCUUCCUGCCAGUGCGUGUUGCUUUCACUUACACUUGCCACAGCCAGCCUCGUGAGUGCCUAGCCUAUUGGAUAUCACUGUCACCUACACAGGACAGUCAUUACCUUUCUAUUAAUACUUUGUUUUUUAAUUUCACAUUAAUUUCCAUAUUGUAUAAACAACUGGAAAAAACUUGAGCCCCUGCCCCUGUAUAAUCAUGUGCACGUCUCUGUUCUAGCUCUAAGGUGAAUCUUCACUGCUCAUGUUCUCCUCAGAAGCAGUCACCUCACUCCCCUCAGGUUACUGUACACAUGCACCAACUGCCUGCUUCAGGUUUGGAUGGAGCUUCAUGGUUGUCUUUUGGAGAAAUGACCAGUCAAGUUGUGUUUGAAAUUUGAUUUUUUUCAGGGGCAAAAGGAGCCUCUGCAUUCUUGUCAAAUAUGUAAAUAGCAUGUUUUUGCAGGUGCUAAAAACCAGACUCUGAGUGUGUGUGUGUGCGUGUGUUUGUGUGUGUGUGUGUGUGUGUGUGUGUGUGUGUGUGCGUUCAAGUCACAUGACAUAUUUAACCGGAUGUAGCUGCAAGACGGAGCCUCGUUGACUAUCCGUUUCAAUUUAUCUCAAAAGUGAGGACCUCAACCUAUAUACCAGUUUUUAAAUUGUGUUGAUAGGCCAAAUAAAACCAGAGUUAUGAUAAAUUAUGUCCACGAUACUUGUUUUCUGCUUAUUUUGAUCACGUUCGGCGCUCGAUCGCGCUGUAUGAGACAGGAAAACAUAGCAUGCAGACAUUAGCGACAGGUCUUACAGGCGGAAAAGGCUUGCCAAAGGAAAAAAAAAAACACACCACAACAUCUCUCCUAUUGGUGGAAAACUUCACCACAACAACCAAUCCAAAAUUAUAUGGUGACUGAUUGACAAGGGGCGGGAACUUACGUUCUUCCUGCAAUAUGAGAAGGGAGGGAGGGACUCUCAGCAGGGAUGCAGUCUGGGACACGUAGUUGCAAACCUAGCGACUUUGUUGUUAGAUUCAAUGACUUUUCAGACCCCCUAACGACUUUUUUUAGAAAGAAAGUGACUUUUAUCGACUUCUUCUGGAGUUUAGAGACUCUGACAUGAAGCAGGCUUUCCUUACUGAGGAGUUAGCAACGCUGCUAAGGGUGCAGAGCCACACAUGCGCUCCGAGCUCUGCAUGGGAGACUGAAGCUGACAGAGCUGCAGCAGUUAGCAGGUUUCACCCUCAGAGACCACCAGGGGUUCAUGUUGAGGCAUUUUAAUUUUUUUUUUUUUUUUUGCCAUAGACACUGUCAGCACAAUCUGCAGUUACACUAACAAAAAUGCUGCAAAAAACAAAGAAUUAUGGAAAAAUUACACAUGGACUAACAUAGAGGAGGAUCUACACAAGUUUUUUACAUCAUGUUUUACAUCAUGCAUCAUUUACAUCAUGUUUUUUUGUAGUGGCAUAAAUAAAAAGUGACAUUUGUGAGACUAUACAGUGUUUUGUAAAUAAUUUUACAAAGAACACCUGGGCCAUUGCCUGCAUUUUGAUGUCAAUAGAGGUAAAUUACUAUGUUCUUUGUUAAAAAUUUGCAUAUGUUUUGAAGUUUACAAUUUUUAUUUGAAGUUUAAGUUUUAAAAACAGUUCAUCACACAUAUUUGUGGUUUUCACAGUAAAAACGUUACUUUUUUCCACUCGGAUUUUAUGUUUUGUGUGUGAAUUUGGGUCCAAUGUGUAAAUAUAGUAUGUCAAAAUGAUAAAAUAACUGUAAAUUCACACAGGUGAGGUUGUGCUCUAGGCGACCCCUAGAACGUAAACCGUGGGGUGCAGCGUCAUGAUUUUUACAACUUUGAAUAGCCAUGGGGUGUAGAUUGGCCUGAGCAAAUUUGGUGCCGGUGGAACGAAAGCCUUAGGAGGAGUUAGCGAAAUUCCAAUGUGUGCGGAUCGGCAAAAAUGCGAAAUAGCCCUUUAACCGUACAUUUGACAGAUACGCCCGCAUUGACUUUUUUGUAGAUCUUAUUGAGAUACACGUGUGUGUCGAGUUUUGUGUCAUUUUGACAAAACAUACAGGCGUAGCACUCAACAAUGUGUAUUUUCACCUUAGUGGACAAGAAAAACUUGACUUUAUUCUCCUGCCAUGGGGGGGCGCUCUUUUAAAGAGAAAAAACUCCUUCACAAAUGUGUUGAUGGCUGGACAUUGCAUCAUCCUAGAAAACAUGGAGGCCAGUGAGGACAAAAAUAAAAAGUUAUAAGACUUUUAAAUAUGUGGAUUUUAGGGUUAUAUUUGGCGGCCCCUAGAACCUAAACCGUGGGGUGCAGCGUCAUGAUUUGAAUAACUUUUAAUGGCCAUGGGGUGUAGAUUGGCCUGAGCAAAUGUGGUGCCGGUGGAACGAAAGCCUUCGGAGGAAUUAGCGAAAUUCCAAUGUGUGCGAAUCUGCAAAAAAUGCGAAAUAACCCUUUAACCGUACAUUUUACAGAUACGUGGCCAUUGACUUUUUCGAAGAUCUUAUUGAAAUACACGUGUAUGUAAAAUUUUGUGUCAAUACGACAAAACAUACAGGCGUAGCACUCAACAAUGUGUAUUUUCACCUUAGUGGACAAGAAAAAAUUGACUUUUUUCUCCUGCCAUGGGGGGCGCUCUUUUGCCGAGUAAAAAUUCCUUCACAAAUGUGUUGAUGGCUGGACAUUGCAUCAUCCUAGAAAACUUGGAGGCCAGUGGGGACAAAAAUAAAAAGUUAUAAGACUUUUAAAUAUGUGGAUUUUACGGUUAUCUUUGGCUCCCCCUAGAACCUAAACCGUGGGGUGCAGCGUCAUGAUUUGAAUAACUUUUAAUGGCCAUGGGGUGUAGAUUGGCCUGAGCAAAUGUGGUGCCGGUGGAACGAAAGCCUUCGGAGGAGUUAGCGAAAUUCCAAUGUGUGCGGAUCGGCAAAAAAUGCGGAAUAACCCUUUAACCGUACAUUUGACAGAUACGCGCGCAUUGACUUUUUCGUAGAUCUUAUUGAGAUACAUGUGUGUGUCAAUUUUUGUGUCAUUUUGCCAAAGCGUACAGGUGUUACACUCAACAAUGUGUAUUUUCACCUUAGGGGACAAGAAAAAAUGGACUUUUUUCUCCUGCCAUGGGGGGGCGCUCUUUUGGGGAGUAAAAAUUCCUUCACAAAUGUGUUGAUGGCUGGACAUUGCAUCAUCCUAGAAAACUUGGAGGCCAGUGAGGGCAAAAAUAAAAAGUUAUAAGACUUUUAAAUAUGUGGAUCUUAGGGUUAUCUUUGGCGCCCCCUAGAACCUAAACCGUGGGGUGCAGCGUCAUGAUUUGAAUAACUUUUAAUGGCCAUGGGGUGUAGAUUGGCCUGAGCAAAUGUGGUGCCGGUGGAACGAAAGCCUUCGGAGGAGUUAGCGAAAUUCCAAUGUGUGCGGAUCGGCAAAAAAUGCGAAAUAACCCUUUAACCGUACAUUUGACAGAUACGCCCGCACUGACUUUUUUGUAGAUCUUAUUGAGAUACAUGUGUGUGUCAAUUUUUGUGUCAUUUUGACAAAGCGUACCGGCGUGACAGUGAAUAGUGUGAAUUUUCACCUUAGGGGGCGCUAUGGAGCCAUUUUGCAUUUUCUUGUUUGGGCGACUUCGGAAUAUCAAAUUUUUCACCAGGCCCGGUCGUCCUGCCAAAUUUCAUGAGUUUUCGCCAGUGGGAAGUGGGCCAUUUUCCAGUUCAAAGGGGAGGAAAAAUAAUAAUAACAAAAGAAGGAAACUACAGGAACAAGAGGGCUCUCGCAGCUGCUUAGCAGCUACGCUCGGGCCCUAAAGAAAGAAAGAAAGAAAGAAAGAAACAAAGAAAAACCACUUGGGGAAUAAUAGGGCCUACGCCCGGCUGCUCUGCAGCUGGCUCGGGCCCUAACUAGGACCCCGUUGGGGCACUGGCGGGCCCGAGCCGUGUCGCCCCCCCCCCCCCCAACGUGCUUCCUCCCCGUCCCAUUUGUGUCCCCUGGCCAUCGCCCUCUCUGGUAACGCCCAUCACUGCAAAGACCCUUUUCCUUCAUCGGCGUUUGCUGUUCUUCCUGCCAGUGCGUGUUGCUUUCACUUACACUUGCCACAGCCAGCCUCGUGAGUGCCUAGCCUAUUCGAUAUCACUGUCACCUACACAGGACAGUCAUUACCUUUCUAUUAAUACUUUGUGUUUUAAUUUCACAUUAAUUUCCAUAUUGUAUAAACGACUGGAAAAAACUUGAGCCCCUGCCCCUGUAUAAUCAUGUGCAUGUCUCUGUUCUAGCUCCAAGGUGAAUCUUCACUGCUCAUGUUCUCCUCAGAAGCACUCACCUCACUCCCCUCAGGUUACUGUACACAUGCACCAACUGCCUGCUUCAGGUUUGGAUGGAGCUUCAUGGUUGUCUUUUGGAGAAAUGACCAGUCAAGUUGUGUUUGAAAUUUGAUUUUUUUCAGGGGCAAAAGGAGCCUCUGCAUUCUUGUCAAAUAUGUAAAUAGCAUGUUUUUGCAGGUGCUAAAAACCAGACUCUGAGUGUGUGUGUGUGUGUGUGUGUGUGCGUGUGUGUGUGUCUGUGUGUGCGUUCAAGUCACAUGACAUAUUUAACCGGAUGUAGCUGCAAGACGGAGCCUCGUUGACUCUCCGUUUCAACUUAUCUCAAAAGUGAGGACCUCAACCUAUAUACCAGUUUUUAAAUUGUGUUGAUAGGCCAAAUAAAACCAGAGUUAUGAUAAAUUAUGUCCGCGAUACUUGUUUUCUGCUUAUUUUGAUCACGUUCGGCGCUCGAUCGCGCUGUAUGAGACAGGAAAACAUAGCAUGCAGACAUUAGCGACAGGUCUUACAGGCGGAAAAGGCUUGCCAAAAGAAAAAAAAAACACACCACAACAUCUCUCCUAUUGGUGGAAAACUUCACCACAACAACCAAUCCAAAAUUAUAUGGUGACUGAUUGACAAGGGGCGGGUGCUUACGUUCUUCCUGCAACAUGAGAAGCGAGGGAGGGACUCUCAGCAGGGAUGCAGUCUGGGACACGUAGUUGCAAACCUAGCGACUUUGUUGUUAGAUUCAAUGACUUUUCAGACCCCCUAACGACUUUUUUUUUAGAAAGAAAGGGACUUUUAUCGACUUCUUCUGGAGUUUAGAGACUCUGACAUGAAGCAGGCUUUCCUUACUGAGGAGUUAGCAACGCUGCUAAGGGUGCAGAGCCACACAUGCGCUCAGAGCUCUGCAUGGGAGACUGAAGCUGACAGAGCUGCAGCAGUUAGCAGGUUUCACCCUCAGAGACCACCAGGGGUUCAUGUUGAGGCAUUUUAAUUUUUUUUUUUUUGUGCCAUAGACACUGUCAGCACAAUCUGCAGUUACACUAACAAAAAUGCUGCAAAAAACAAAGAAUUAUGGAAAAAUUACACAUGGACUGACAUAGAGGAGGAUCUACACAAGUUUUUUACAUCAUGUUUUACAUCAUGCAUCAUUUACAUCAUGUUUUUUUGUAGUGGCAUAAAUAAAAAGUGACAUUUGUGAGAUUAUACAGUGUUUUGUAAAUAAUUUUACAAAGAACGCCUGGGCCAUUGCCUGCAUUUUGAUGUAAAUAGAGGUAAAUUACUAUGUUCUUUGUUAAAAAUUUGCAUAUGUUUUGAAGUUUACAAUUUUUAUUUGAAGUUUAAGUUUUAAAAACAGUUCAUCACACAUAUUUGUGGUUUAAUUUCACAUUAAUUUCCAUAUUGUAUAAAUGACUGGAAAAAACUUGAGCCCCUGCCCCUGUAUAAUCAUGUGCACGUCCCUGUUCUAGCUCCAAGGUGAAUCUUCACUGCUCAUGUUCUCCUCAGAAAUAGUCACCUCACUCCCCUCAGGUUACUGUACACAUGCACCAACUAUCUGCUUCAGGUUUGAAAUGGAGCUUCAUGGUUGUCUUUUGGAGAAAUGAACAGUCAAGUUGUGUUUGAAAUUUGAUUUUUUUCAGGGGCAAAAGGAAGCCUCUGCAUUCUUGUCAAAUAUGUAAACAGCAUGUUUUUGCAGGUGCUAAAAAACAGACUCUGAGUGUGUGUGUGUGUCUGUGUGUGUGUGUGUGUGUGUGUGUGUGUGUGUGUGUGUAUGUUGGCGUGUGUGUAUAUGUGUGUGUAUCCUGCAGUACUCUGUACUCCUGCAGUGGCCAAAAAGACUUUUAAGAAUGUGGAUUUUUGGGUCAUCUUUGGCGCCCCCUAGAACUGCAGUACUCUGUACUCCUGCAGUGGCCAAAAUGACUUUUAAGAAUGUGGAUUUUUGGGUCAUCUUUGGCGCCCCCUAGAACGUAAACCGUGGGGUGCAGCGUCAUGAUUUUUACAACUUUGAAUGGGCAUGGGGUGUAGAUUGCCCUGAGCAAAUUUGGUAUCGGUGGGACGAAAGCCUUAGGAGGAGAUAGCCACAUUCCAAUGUGUGCGAAUCGGCAAAAAAUGCAAAAUAGCCCUUUAACCGUACAUUAUACAGAUACGCGCUCUUUGACUUUUUCGUAGAUCUAAUUGAGAUACACAUGAUUGUCAAUUUUUGUGUCAAUAUGACAAAGCGUUCAGGCGUGACACUCAACAAUGUGUAUUUUUAUGUAAGGGGACAAGAAAAAAUUGACUUUUUUCUCCUACCAUGGGGGGGCGCUCUUUUGGGGAGUAAAAAUUCCUUCACAAAUGUGUUGAUGGCUGGACAUUGCAUCAUCCUAGAAAACUUGGAGGCCAGUGAGGACAAAAAUAAAAAGUUAUAAAACAUUUAAGAAUGUGGAUUUUUGGGUUAUUUUUGGCGCCCCCUAGAACCUAAACCAUGGGGUGCAGCAUCAUGAUUUGAAUAACUUUUAAUGGCCAUGGGGUGUAGAUUGGCCUGAGCAAAUGUGGUGCCGGUGGAACGAAAGCCUUCGGAGGAGUUAGCGAAAUUCCAAUGUGUGCGUAUCGGCAAAAAAUGCGGAAUAACCCUUUAACUGUACAUUUGACAGAUACGCGCGCAUGGACUUUUUUGUAGAUCUUAUUGAGUUACAUGUGUGUGUCAAUUUUUGUGUCAUUUUGACAAAGCGUAUAGGCGUGACACUCAACAAUGUGUAUUUUCACCUUAGGGGACAAGAAAAAAUGGACUUUUUUCUCCUGCCAUGGGGGGGCGCUCUUUUGGGGAGUAAAAAUUCCUUCACAAAUGUGUUGAUGGCUGGACAUUGCAUCAUCCUAGAAAACUUGGAGGCCAGUGAGGACAAAAAUAAAAAGUUAUAAGAAUUUUAAAUAUGUGGAUUUUAGUGUUAUCUUUGGCGCCCCCUAGAACCUAAACCUUGGGGUGCAGCGUCAUGAUUUUGAUAACUUUUAGUGGCCACGGGGUGUAGAUUGGCCUGAGCAAAUGUGGUGCCGGUGGAACGAAAGCCUUCGGAGGAGUUAGCGAAAUUCCAAUGUGUGCGGAUCGGCAAAAAAUGCGAAAUAACCCUUUAACCGUAAUUUUGACAGAUACGGCCGCACUGACUUUUUUGUAGAUCUUAUUGAGAUACAUAUGUGUGUCAAUUUUUGUGUCAAUAUGACAAAGCGUACAGGCGUGACAGUCAAUAGUGUGAAUUUCCACCUUAGGGGGCGCUAUGGAGCCAUUUUGCAUUUUAUUGUUUGGGCGACUUCAGAAUAUCGAAUUUUUCACCAGGCCCGGUCGUCCUGCCAAAUUUCAUGAGUUUUCGCCAGUGGGAAGUGGGCCAUUUUCCAGUUCAAAGGGGAGGAAAAAGAAGAAAGAAAGAAAGAAAGAAAGAAACAAAGAAAAACCCAUUGGGGAAUAAUAGGGCCUACGCCCGGCUGCUCUGCAGCUGGCUCGGGCCCUAAUAAUAACAAAAGAAGGAAACAUGCAGGAACAAGAGGGCUCUCGCAGCUGCUUAGCAGCUACGCUCGGGCCCUAAGAAAGAAAGAAAGAAAGAAAGAAAGAAAGAAACAAAGAAAAACCACUUGGGGAAUAAUAGGGCCUACGCCCGGCUGCUCUGCAGCUGGCUCCGGGCCCUAAGAAAGAAAGAAACAAAGAACUAGGACCCCGUUGGGGCACUGGCGGGCCCGAGCUGUGUCGCGUCCCCCCCCCAACGCGCUGCCUCCCCGUCCCAUUUGUGUCCUCUGGCCAUCGUCCUCUCUGGUAACGCCCAUCACUGCAAAGACCCUUUUCCUUCAUCGGCGUUUGCUGUUCUUCCUGCCAGUGCGUGUUGCUUUCACUUACACUUGCCACAGCCAGCCUCUUGAGUGCCUAGCCUAUUGGAUAUCACUGUCACCUACUCAGGACAGUCAUUACCUUUCUAUUAAUACUUUGUUUUUUAAUUUCACAUUAAUUUCCAUAUUGUAUAAACAACUGGAAAAAACUUGAGCCCCUGCCCCUGUAUAAUCAUGUGCACGUCUCUGUUCUAGCUCUAAGGUGAAUCUUCACUGCUCAUGUUCUCCUCAGAAGCAGUCACCUCACUCCCCUCAGGUUACUGUACACAUGCACCAACUGCCUGCUUCAGGUUUGGAUGGAGCUUCAUGGUUGUCUUUUGGAGAAAUGACCAGUCAAGUUGUGUUUGAAAUUUGAUUUUUUUCAGGGGCAAAAGGAGCCUCUGCAUUCUUGUCAAAUAUGUAAAUAGCAUGUUUUUGCAGGUGCUAAAAACCAGACUCUGAGUGUGUGUGUGUGUGCGUGUGUGUGUGUGUCUGUGUGUGUGUGUGUGUGUGUGUGUGUGUGUGUGUGUGUGUGCGUUCAAGUCACAUGACAUAUUUAACCGGAUGUAGCUGCAAGACGGAGCCUCGUUGACUCCGUUUCAACUUAUCUCAAAAGUGAGGACCUCAACCUAUAUACCAGUUUUUAAAUUGUGUUGAUAGGCCAAAUAAAACCAGAGUUAUGAUAAAUUAUGUCCGCGAUACUUGUUUUCUGCUUAUUUUGAUCACGUUCGGCGCUCGAUCGCGCUGUAUGAGACAGGAAAACAUAGCAUGCAGACAUUAGCGACAGGUCUUACAGGCGGAAAAGGCUUGCCAAAGGAAAAAAAAAACACACCACAACAUCUCUCCUAUUGGUGGAAAACUUCACCACAACAACCAAUCCAAAAUUAUAUGGUGACUGAUUGACAAGGGGCGGGCGCUUACGUUCUUCCUGCAACAUGAGAAGGGAGGGAGGGACUCUCAGCAGGGAUGCAGUCUGGGACACGUAGUUGCAAACCUAGCGACUUUGUUGUUAGAUUCAAUGACUUUUCAGACCCCCUAAAGACUUUUUUUUUAGAAAGAAAGUGACUUUUAUCGACUUCUUCUGGAGUUUAGAGACUCUGACAUGAAGCAGGCUUUCCUUACUGAGGAGUUAGCAACGCUGCUAAGGGUGCAGAGCCACACAUGCGCUCCGAGCUCUGCAUGGGAGACUGAAGCUGACAUAGCUGCAGCAGUUAGCAGGUUUCACCCUCAGAGACCACCAGGGGUUCAUGUUGAGGCAUUUUCAGUUUUUUUUUUUUUUUUUGCCAUAGACACUGUCAGCACAAUCUGCAGUUACACUAACAAAAAUGCUGCAAAAAACAAAGAAUUAUGGAAAAAUUACACAUGGACUAACAUAGAGGAGGAUCUACACAAGUUUUUUACAUCAUGUUUUACAUCAUGCAUCAUUUACAUCAUGUUUUUUUGUAGUGGCAUAAAUAAAAAGUGACAUUUGUGAGACUAUACAGUGUUUUGUAAAUAAUUUUACAAAGAACACCUGGGCCAUUGCCUGCAUUUUGAUGUAAAUAGAGGUAAAUCACUAUGUUCUUUGUUAAAAAUUUGCAUAUGUUUUGAAGUUUACAAUUUUUAUUUGAAGUUUAAGUUUUAAAAACAGUUCAUCACACAUAUUUGUGGUUUUCACAGUAAAAAUGUUACUUUUUUCCACUCGGAUUUUAUGUUUUGUGUGUGAAUUUGGGUCCAUUGUGUAAAUUCAGUAUGUCAACAUGAUAAAAUAACUGUAAAUUCACACAGGUGAGGUUGUGCUGAAAAAAAUGAUACCAGGCAAGGCACGUGAUUGUCAAAUUUUGUGUCAAUAUGACAAAGCGUAUAGGCGUGAAUCUCAACAAUAUGUAUUUUCACCUUAGGGGACAAGAAAAAAUGGACUUUUUUCUCCUGCCAUGGGGGGGCGCUCUUUUGGGGAGUAAAAAUUCCUUCACAAAUGUGUUGAUGGCUGGACAUUGCAUCAUCCUAGAAAACUUGGAGGCCAGUGAGGGCAAAAAUAAAAAGUUAUAAGACUUUUAAAUAUGUGGAUUUUAGGGAUAUCUUUGGCGCCCCCUAGAACCUAAACCGUGGGGUGCAGCGUCAUGAUUUGAAUAACUUUUAAUGGCCAUGGGGUGUAGAUUGGCCUGAGCAAAUGUGGUGCCGGUGGAACGAAAGCCUUCGGAGGAGUUAGCGAAAUUCCAAUGUGUGCGGAUCGGCAAAAAAUGCGAAAUAACCCUUUAACCGUACAUUUGACAGAUACGCGCGCGUGGACUUUUUUGUAGAUCUUAUUGAGAUACAUGUGUGUGUCAAUUUUUGUGUCAUUUUGACAAAGCGUACAGGCGUGACAGUCAAUAGUGUGAAUUUUAACCUUAGGGGACAAGAAAAAAUGGACUUUUUUCUCCUGCCAUGGGGGGGCGCUCUUUUGGGGAGUAAAAAUUCCUUCACAAAUGUGUUGAUGGCUGGACAUUGCAUCAUCCUAGAAAACUUGGAGGCCAGUGAGGGCAAAAAUAAAAAGUUAUAAGACUUUUAAAUAUGUGGAUUUUAGGGUUAUCUUUGGCGCCCCCUAGAACCUAAACCGUGGGGUGCAGCGUCAUGAUUUUGAUAACUUUUAAUGGCCAUGGGGUGUAGAUUGGCCUGAGCAAAUGUGGUGCCGGUGGAACGAAAGCCUUAGGAGGAGUUAGCCACAUUCCAAUGUGUGCGGAUCGGCAAAAAAUGCGGAAUAACCCUUUAACCGUACAUUUGACAGAUACGCGCGCGUGGACUUUUUUGUAGAUCUUAUUGAGAUACAUGUGUGUGUCAAUUUUUGUGUCAUUUUGACAAAGCGUACAGGCGUGACAGUCAAUAGUGUGAAUUUUCACCUUAGGGGACAAGAAAAAAUGGACUUUUUUCUCCUGCCAUGGGGGGGCGCUCUUUUGGGGAGUAAAAAUUCCUUCACAAAUGUGUUGAUGGCUGGACAUUGCAUCAUCCUAGAAAACUUGGAGGCCAGUGAGG
This 12184-nucleotide long non-coding RNA is filed under the name Xyrichtys novacula (pearly razorfish). Lineage: Eukaryota; Metazoa; Chordata; Actinopteri; Labriformes; Labridae. The record is from RNAcentral.